AUGAACGCUGGCGGCGUGCCUAAUACAUGCACGUCGAGCGAACAGACGAGGAGCUUGCUCCUCUGAUGUUAGCGGCGGACGGGUGAGUAACACGUGGAUAACCUACCUAUAAGACUGGGAUAACUUCGGGAAACCGGAGCUAAUACCGGAUAACAUGUUGAACCGCAUGGUUCAACAGUGAAAGACGGUCUUGCUGUCACUUAUAGAUGGAUCCGCGCCGCAUUAGCUAGUUGGUAAGGUAACGGCUUACCAAGGCAACGAUGCGUAGCCGACCUAAGAGGGUGAUCGGCCACACUGGAACUGAGACACAGUCCAGACUCCUACGGGAGGCAGCAGUAGGGAAUCUUCCGCAAUGGGCGAAAGCCUGACGGAGCAACGCCGCGUGAGUGAAGAAGGUCUUCGGAUCGUAAAACUCUGUUAUUAGGGAAGAACAAAUGUGUAAGUAACUAUGCACGUCUUGACGGUACCUAAUCAGAAAGCCACGGCUAACUACGUG
Molecule: ribosomal RNA, 496 nt
Filed under: uncultured bacterium
Lineage: Bacteria
Description: partial 16S ribosomal RNA
Rfam family: Bacterial small subunit ribosomal RNA
Source: RNAcentral